UUUUUUCAUAGUCCAAUACAAUGAAAAGGUUCUUGGCUUUAUAGCCGAAUGAUUACAAUCUUUUUUUGUUUUUGUUUUUUUGUUCUUCUGCCGUGUUUGUUGCUUGUCGUUUUUGCAGGUACGGAGGUGACGUGGCGUGCACGAAGGCGAGAGGUGCUGGAGGCCAUUCCUGUUGGCUGCGGCGCAAAGGGGAAACCUUAGGGUUUCUGUGAAUGUUGAGAAUGUGUUGGUUUUGG
This 236-nucleotide long non-coding RNA is filed under the name Gossypium barbadense (sea-island cotton). Its description in RNAcentral is "long non-coding RNA (GBAR_LNC006000)". Lineage: Eukaryota; Viridiplantae; Streptophyta; Magnoliopsida; Malvales; Malvaceae. The record is from RNAcentral.